AGAGUUUGAUCAUGGCUCAGAUUGAACGCUGGCGGCAUGCCCUUAACACAUGCAAGUCGAACGGUAACGGGCCUUCGGGUGCCGACGAGUGGCGAACGGGUGAGUAAUGUAUCGGAACGUACCUUUCAGUGGGGGAUAACGUAGCGAAAGUUACGCUAAUACCGCAUAUUCUGUGAGCAGGAAAGCAGGGGAUCGCAAGACCUUGCGCUGAUUGAGCGGCCGAUAUCAGAUUAGCUAGUUGGUGAGGUAAAGGCUCACCAAGGCGACGAUCUGUAGCGGGUCCGAGAGGAUGAUCCGCCACACUGGAACUGAGACACGGUCCAGACUCCUACGGGAGGCAGCAGUGGGGAAUUUUGGACAAUGGGGGCAGCCCUGAUCCAGCCAUGCCGCGUGAGUGAAGAAGGCCUUCGGGUUGUAAAGCUCUUUCGGCCGGGAAGAAAUCGUAUGGGCUAAUACCCUGUGCGGAUGACGGUACCGGCAUAAGAAGCACCGGCUAACUACGUG
RNAcentral lists this ribosomal RNA (504 nucleotides) under uncultured bacterium. Its description in RNAcentral is "bacterial SSU rRNA". It matches the Rfam family "Bacterial small subunit ribosomal RNA", at positions 8 to 507 of the family's 1533-position model. The record is from RNAcentral.